This 398-nucleotide ribosomal RNA is filed under the name uncultured bacterium. RNAcentral's name for it is "partial 16S ribosomal RNA". It matches the Rfam family "Bacterial small subunit ribosomal RNA", at positions 523 to 918 of the family's 1533-position model. The record is from RNAcentral.
AUACGUAGGGUGCGAGCGUUGUCCGGAAUUACUGGGCGUAAAGAGCUCGUAGGUGGUUUGUCGCGUCGUCUGUGAAAUUCCGGGGCUUAACUCCGGGCGUGCAGGCGAUACGGGCAUAACUUGAGUACUGUAGGGGAGACUGGAAUUCCUGGUGUAGCGGUGAAAUGCGCAGAUAUCAGGAGGAACACCGGUGGCGAAGGCGGGUCUCUGGGCAGUAACUGACGCUGAGGAGCGAAAGCAUGGGUAGCGAACAGGAUUAGAUACCCUGGUAGUCCAUGCCGUAAACGGUGGGCGCUAGGUGUAGGGGUCUUCCACGACUUCUGUGCCGAAGCUAACGCAUUAAGCGCCCCGCCUGGGGAGUACGGCCGCAAGGUUGAAACUCAAAUGAAUUGACGGGG